AUGCUCUGGGUCGCCAACUGCCCCUGCACGCACUGGGCCAUCGGGUGCGGCGGCAGCGACUGCAACGGCAUCCGCAAUAUGUUCACCCCGGAUGUCUGCGAUAGUGCGAAAUGGCCGGCGCAGGGGCAGGGCCCGUGCGUCUACACCGCCUUGCCGUACAACCCAGUCGACGGGCGUCGCGUCGCCGCCCAAGCCACCACCAUCUCAAUCGCCGCCAACGCCACGGACGGCAAGAACCCGCUCUUCCCGGCCACCUUCCCCGUCGUCGCGUCCUGCGCGCCGGGGGAGUUCUUGGCCUCGCUCCCGGCGGACGUGGCCGGCGUCGCGGGGCUCGCGAGGCUGCUUAACUCUUUGCCGUUGCAGGUCGCCCAGUGGUACCGCCUGAAGCAACAGUUCGCGCUGUGCCUGCCCAGGGGCGGGGACGGCGGCCAUUUCCAGCUGCUGGCCGCGCCAACCGUGGAGCUCGCCGACAGCCUCCGCAAGAACCCUCUCCCGUUCCUCUUCAACCCCAAAAACCGCGCCUACUACUUUACCAUCACUGGCAUCGCCGUGAACCAGCAGCGCGUGCCCACUCCGUCCGGCGCCUUCGACAUGGAAAGGAGAGGCCAGGGCGGCGCCGCCUUCAGCACCGUCACGCCCUACACCGCGCUCCGCUGGGACAUCUACUGGCCGCUCCGCAACGCGUUCGACGCGGCCACGAGCGGCAUCGCGCACGAGGACAAGGUGGCGCCGUUCGACAUGUGCUACCAGGCGUCGGAGCUCGCCAUGACCAGCGUGGGCUAUGCCGUGGCCAACAUCGACCUGAUGCUGGACGGAGGCCAGAACUGGACACUGCCGGGCGCCAGCUCGCUCGUGCAGGUGAACGACCGGACGGUGUGCUUCGCGUUCGUUCAGACGGAUUCGCCGGUGCCGGCACAUGCUGAGUCGCCGGCGGUGAUCCUCGGGGGGCACCAGUUGGAGGACAACCUGCUUAUGUUUGAUCUGGUGAAGGACACGUUCGCGUUCAGUGGGCUGCUCCUCGGCAUCGGCACUACCUGCAGCAACUUCGACUUCAUCAUGGGGAGUUCUUAG
Molecule: ribosomal RNA, 1071 nt
Filed under: Triticum aestivum (bread wheat)
Lineage: Eukaryota; Viridiplantae; Streptophyta; Magnoliopsida; Poales; Poaceae
Description: partial small subunit ribosomal RNA
Source: RNAcentral